RNAcentral lists this unclassified non-coding RNA (537 nucleotides) under uncultured Bartonella sp. Its description in RNAcentral is "partial 16S-23S ribosomal RNA intergenic spacer". Lineage: Bacteria; Pseudomonadati; Pseudomonadota; Alphaproteobacteria; Hyphomicrobiales; Bartonellaceae. The record is from RNAcentral.
GGUGCUCUCCCAGCUGAGCUACGGCCCCUAAAUCAGAAUAAAGCGUUUAAAACGAUCAAAAGAGGGAUUACAAAAUCUAUAUAACUCAAAGCGAUAUGAUUGAACCGAUAGUUUCAUAUAGGCAUUGACGUCUAUGAGCAUUUGGAAUUUAUAUCAACCAAAUGGACGCUGUAAAAAUCACUUUGCAAGGAAUUUUGACUCCUUAGUAUUUAGCAUUUGAACUGUUUUUUUGCCAUUAAUUUGCUUUAACUUUGGAUUACUCACACAAAAGCAAUAAGCCUGCCAAUUUUGAUAAGCUUUUUAGAAGCAAUCUUUUUAGAAGUACUUAUUUUUUAAAAGCACUUAUGAAAGUAAUGGAUAAACUGGUGGGCCUGGGAGGACUUGAACCUCCGACCUCACGCUUAUCAAGCGCGCGCUCUAACCAACUGAGCUACAAGCCCUCCGGGAUAAACCGGAAAACCUUCCCCGGCAUCCUCUUAUAAAACGCUUAAAUUUUAUCAAGGAAAGCGUUUUUCAAAGCCCACGGUGGACUUGUUU